RNAcentral lists this ribosomal RNA (252 nucleotides) under uncultured bacterium. Its description in RNAcentral is "partial 16S ribosomal RNA". It matches the Rfam family "Bacterial small subunit ribosomal RNA", at positions 524 to 776 of the family's 1533-position model. The record is from RNAcentral.
UACGGAGGGUGCGAGCGUUGUCCGGAAUUAUUGGGUCUAAAGGGUGCGUAGGUGGCCAUAUAAGUCAGAGGUUAAAGCUUACAGCUUAACUGUAAUGAGCCUUUGAUACUGUAUGGCUUGAGUUUAAUUUGGGUAGGCGGAAUUGAUAGUGUAGCGGUGAAAUGCAUAGAUAUUAUCAAGAACACCAAUAGCGUAGGCAGCCUACUGGGUUAUAACUGACACUGAUGCACGAAAGUGUGGGUAGCGAACAGG